RNAcentral lists this ribosomal RNA (253 nucleotides) under uncultured bacterium. Its description in RNAcentral is "partial 16S ribosomal RNA". It matches the Rfam family "Bacterial small subunit ribosomal RNA", at positions 524 to 776 of the family's 1533-position model. The record is from RNAcentral.
UACGUAGGGGGCAAGCGUUGUCCGGAUUUAUUGGGCGUAAAGAGCGUGUAGGCGGCCAGGUAGGUCUGCUGUGAAAACUCGAGGCUUAACCUCGAGCUGGCGGCGGAAACCAUCUGGCUAGAGUCCGGAAGAGGAGAAUGGAAUUCCCGGUGUAGCGGUGAAAUGCGCAGAUAUCGGGAAGAACACCCGUGGCGAAGGCGGUUCUCUAGUACGGUACUGACGCUGAGACGCGAAAGCGUGGGGAGCGAACAGG